AUAAGGAUGAACCCGUCUCUGUGGCAAAAGAGUGGGAAGAUCUCGCAGUAGCGGUGAAAAGCCUAACGAGCCUGGUGAUAGCUGGUUGCUCAAUAAAUGAAUUAAAGUUCAACUUUAGGUUAUUUUAUCAAAUUUUUAAGUUCAAAUACAACCUAAAAGUUAGUCAAUAAGGGUACAACUUCAUUGACAUUGGAUACAACCUCCACUAGAGAGAAAGAAAUAACAUUUAUCCAGUAGGCCUUAAAGCAGCCACCAAUAAAAAAAGCGUCAUAGCAACACAACAACAAAUACCUCAUAUAACAACUAACUCCUAGUAAAAUAUUGAGCUAAACUAUAAUAAUAGUUAAACUUCUGCUAAAACUAGUAACAAGAAACCUUCUCUCCGCACCCCCGUAACCCAGAAAUAGAAAAACUACUGGAUCUUAACAGACCAAAACAGGCACAACACAACUCAUUGUAUUAACCACUGUUAAACCAACACUGGAGUGCCAUCAAGAUAGAUUUAAAGUUGUAUAAGGAACUCGGCAAAAUUUAUCCCAACUGUUUACCAAAAACAUAGCCUUUAGCAAUAUAAGUAUUAAAGGUCCCGCCUGCCCAGUG
This 600-nucleotide ribosomal RNA is filed under the name Trachylepis wahlbergii (Wahlberg's striped skink). RNAcentral describes it as "partial 16S ribosomal RNA". It matches the Rfam family "Bacterial large subunit ribosomal RNA", at positions 768 to 1868 of the family's 2925-position model. Lineage: Eukaryota; Metazoa; Chordata; Lepidosauria; Squamata; Scincidae. The record is from RNAcentral.